Molecule: long non-coding RNA, 1411 nt
Filed under: Chinchilla lanigera (long-tailed chinchilla)
Lineage: Eukaryota; Metazoa; Chordata; Mammalia; Rodentia; Chinchillidae
Description: lncRNA (ENSCLAG00000022813.1)
Source: RNAcentral
AUGAUGUUGAGCACCGCACCUUCACAGAAAAUGGACCCUCUGGAAGGAAGAACACACUUCACGACGUGCCUGCCACAUCUUAGGCCUCGAGGCACCAGCCUCAGGACCCCGCGCAGGGAAACCGUGUGGCAACGAGUAAGAGGAUGGUUCACUCAGCCCAGACGCUUCAGGACACUCACCAGGAAGCGCCCAACGGUCAUGGGCCACACAGGGCAGGGCUCUGCGGACCCAGGCCCCAAGUACCCAGAGACAAAUGGGAGCCCAGGACGGGUGUCCCUACAACUAGCGGUCAUCUGCACGGAGCCUCCGAGUCCGGUACAGGUCUGUCUGGACCUGACCAACACUGUGAGUUCCCUGCAAAAUUUGAACACUUCAUCCUCAGUGUGUUUGGGGGUGAGGGAGGGGGACAGUUUCCUGCUUGAAGUCAACCUGGACAGGCCCACGAGUUGCCGGGCCCAGAGCCCGGGGUCCCGUCACAGUCCCCCCGAAGAGAGGGCUGGCAGGACGAGGAAGGCAGUGCUCAGUGUUAAUGCAAAGCCGGCAGAGUCAUCUCCUGUCCUCCAGAAGUGGCAGCCUGUGACAGGGCUGACUGGGAUGUGGGGAGCACAAGGUGAUCAGGGGCAAGAGAGGGGGCAGAUACUGCUCAGGCAGAGCCUCAUGCUUCCUGCCAGCUACUGGGCACUGUCCCAACAGAGCUGCACACAGGACACCGGUGUGGAGCAGGUCCCUGUGGGCCUGCAGUGUCCCUGCACCACACACGGGGACGCAGUCACAGCACAUGCCAGCUCAAGCGCAGCUGCUGUGUGUGUGUGUGUGUGUGUGUGUGUGUGUGUGUGAGUAGAGGGCCCAGGGAGGGCAGAGAAACCUGGGCAGCCAGAUGACACCUCCAGUACCUCCUUCUAGGAGUGGAAAACAAAGCACCUCUCGUCUUGCUCCCAAAGGAAUCUGGGGUUUAUGUCUUCAACAACUACAUGCUGUGUGCUUAGGCUCUUCCUCAGCCAGCUACAAGGUCACUGCGCAAGCUGGGAGCAUUAGAAGAGGGACAGGGACAGUAAGUCUCUGGACUUCCUGCCAUGACUGAUUUCUAUUUCAUCCUGGAAUUGCUGAACCCAGGAUCUGUGGGGCAUCUGCCUGAAUGUCCUUCCACCCUGUCUCCAGCUCUGUACACGUUACCCAUUGGCAUGGGUGUGCUCACCCAAACCGUCAGACCUUUGCCACUUUGUCCUUUUCUCUGGCACCUGCUGUCCCCUAGAACCCACGCGGGCCCUGUAGAUCACAGGGUGGGGCCUCCCUCACUUUGGCUAAAUGAUCUUCUAUCGGGCUGGCAGUGAACUAAGCCACUCUGCCUUGCUAGGCGAAGGAAGACUGACCUGACCCUUUCUGGGGACUUCUCAGCAGAAACCUCUGCAAC